RNAcentral lists this long non-coding RNA (5032 nucleotides) under Homo sapiens (human). RNAcentral's name for it is "non-protein coding lnc-BAIAP2-5:1". The record is from RNAcentral. Lineage: Eukaryota; Metazoa; Chordata; Mammalia; Primates; Hominidae.
GGAAGUCGUGAAUGGUAAGUCGUGAGUGGGUACGGAGGGAACGCCGGGGUGGGGGAGGGGGUACUCCUAGGUGGAAAGGUUCAGGGAGACAGGUGGGGGAACCCGGGAGCACACCCAGGGCGGGUCUUGGUGCUCAGGGGCCCUCGCCUCACUUGCAGGUUUCGAGGCGGCUGGCAGCCGCCCCCCCACCCCAUGCCCUUUGGGUGGCACCUGUGCUGGUGGAGUGGGGGUGGCUGGCUUUGCACACAGGCCUGCUCCUGUACCGUGCUGCGACAGCCAUGAAGGAAGAACCUGGCUGAGUCUCCACCUGCCGUGGACUGUACCAGGUGCUUAGGGCAGCAGGUUGGCCUGGGCGCUGAGGGGCCAUCCCUUCCCCUAUGUUUCUCCCAGGAUCCCCCAUCCCCGCCCAAAGUGCCACCUUGCAGGGUUGGGGCGGGGCAGGGUCCCCCCAGCCUGCCCCCGUGGGAGUCGGGAGAGUUAAAGUUCAGUGGAAGCUGGUCCCAGUGGCUCAUGCCUGUAAUCCCAGCACUUUGGGAGGCCAGGGCAGGCGGGUGGCUUGUGCUCAGGGGUUCCAGACCAGCCUGGGCAACAUAGCAAGACACUUUCUCUACAAAAAUUAGAAAAAUGAGCCAGGCAUGGUGGCGCUCACCUGUAGUCUCAGCUACUUGGGAGGCUGAGGUGGGAGGAUCACUUGAGCCUGGGAGUUAGAGGCCGCAGUGAGCCAAGAUGGCACCACUGCACUCCAGCCCGGGUGACAACAAGAUCUUGUCUCAAAAAAAGUGUCCUGGAGACUUGCAGUUGAGUUUGAUGCACCCUCAUCCACUCAUUCAUUCACUCACUCAUUCAUUCACUCACUCAUUCAUUCACUCACUCAUUCUGGGACCAGAUGGCUAAGCCCCUUGGCAAGGCCCAGUUGGGGUUGGGGGCUGUGGAGCAGGUGAGAGGCGCCCACUCCAACAGGGCUCUUAGGACUUUAGGGAGAGAAAGGAGCCUGUUCCCGGCAGAGGGACCUGCAGAGACCAGGACAGGAUGCUUGGGCCACGGGGCAGAUGGGCACCAGGACCCACCCUUCUUUUCCUAAGGGGGUCCCUCAUGUAGGAAGUUUCCUCCUAACAGGCAAAGCAAGGGGCCUCCACCCUGUGCCCUCAGACCUUAGGGGUCCCUGGCUGUAGGAGACAAGACACCAACUGCACCUGGGGCAGAAGGAGACAGGGCACCCAGAGCCUUCUUCCUGGCCCUGAUCAUGUGGCCAGCCAAGGUUCUAAGGGGCGCUGCCGCCAGGCUGCCGUUGCAGGUAAAGAAGCCGCGUGGGUAGAGUGGCUGAAGGGGGCCUUGCCCGCAGGAGGCACUCAGAGGCCUUGGGCCACCUCGUUCAGUCUGUGUCUUCAGGGAGCCCAGAGGGCUGGGAGGAUCAGUGCCCACCCAGUGGCAGGGAUGGUUGGUGCCAGCAGGCUGUGAUCCUGGAGUGCUCCAGUGUGAGGGACAGAGGGUAUGGCAUACCCUCAUGAGUCUCCACUCUGGGUCCCCUGUCAGGGCCUCCCCUCCCCAGCUCAGGAGGGAGUGCCCUCCUCUGCCCAGCCUGGAAGGUGCCCUAGACACCUGGACCUAGGCAGGGGGAGGUGGCCAGUGGCCGUGGGUGGUUGCUGGUUGGCAUGUUGGGGAGAGUUUCUGUCCAGAACUUCCAUGCCCUCAGUGUCCCUGCCUUGAUGACCAGGGCCAGAAACAGCUUGCUGUGACCAGGGGCUGGCUCCUCUCAGUUUUGCCUGUGAACACACACAUGUACACUUGUGGCUGGGCCACAGCUCAGGGGCUUCAAGCUGUGGAUCUUCUUGGGGCUCCAGGAAGGACAGGGGAGGAGCUGCCCCUGGGCUCCAAGCCAGCACUCCCACCCUACGUAACCAGAGCGACACCCCUUCUCCAGGAAGCACAGGGCCCUCUGAGAUUUCGCUGGAACCAGGAGUUCAGAUGCUUCCACUGACCGUGACCCUAGUGGGGCCCCCCAGGUGCUGGCUUUUGCCCACGCUGGGACAGGAUCAGUGAGCACCUCUGGGUAAGAGGUCCCUGAAGACAUAGCUGUCUGCUAUCCCCCGGCCUGGGGGAAGGCAUGAUCUCCGCCCCUGGGACUCUCUAGAGCCCAGAAGGAGCUGACCGAGGAGCCCAGAUUGGCUGGGAGAGUGUCGGUGCAGAAGCAUUGCCCGUCGAAGAGGAAAAAGGCCAAGAACCCAGCAGGAAGCCCAGGUGUGGUGGAAAAGAGGGGGCAGGGGCAGGAGAGAGCCUGGGGGUCUGGGGAUUAGAGACCAGAGUGAGGAACGCACCUCAGGAGCAAAGUUUAGGGGGCACCCAAAAACUCAGCAGUUAUGCCCAUCCACAGAUAAACCAUCAACAGGAUGUGAUCUGUCCAUACGAUGCAAUGGUAUUGGUCCAUACACAGGACCAAAGCUCUGACCACACUAUAACAUGCAUGACACAUGCUACCACAUGGAUGACACAUGAAAAUAUGCUCAGUGAAAGACACAGAAGGCCACAGAGUGUGUGAUUCCACUUGUAUGAAAUGUCUGGAACAGACAAAUCCACGGGACAGAGCACAGGUGGAGGGCCAGAGCCGGGAGAGGGGCAAGUGGGGGCAGUGCAGAAGGGGCACAGGGCGUCUUCCUGGGGGGAGGAAACUUCCCUGAAUUAGCUAGAGGUGAUGGCUGCCCACCCUGGUGAAGAUGCUAAAACACUAAGCUGUACCCUUUAAAGUGGUGAACUUCAUGGCAUGUGACUUAUAUCUCAAUAAAAUUGUUAAAAACAGUAAUCGGCCGGGCGCAGUGGCUCACGCCUGUAAUCCCAGCACUUUGGGAGGCCAAGGGGGGCGGACCGCGAGGUCAGGAGUUCGAGACCAGCCUGGCCAACAUGGUGAAGCCCCGUAUCUACUAAAAAUACAAAAAUUAACCAGACAUGGUGGCAGGCGCCUGUAAUCCCAGCUACUAGGGAAGCUGAGGCAGGAGAAUUGCUUGAAACCAGAAGGCGGAACUUGCAGUGAGCCGAGAUGGCGCCACUGCACAUAUGUCUGUGCAUAUGUGUAGAUGUGUGUGUGUGGGCGGGGUCGCCCCCUCCAGAUGCUCCAGGGGAGGGUCCUUCCUGCCUCUUCCGGCUACUGGUGGCCCUAGGCCUUCCUGGGCCUGUGGCUGCGCAGCCCCAACCUCUGCCUGCAUCGUCACAUAGUCGUGUGCGUGUGUGUGUACGUGUCUAUGUGUGUGUAUGCAUGUGUGUCUGUGCAUAUGUGUAGAUGUGUGUGUCUUGGUAUGUAUAUGUGUGUCUGUGUGUGUCUGUCUUGGUAGGUAUAUGUGUGUGUGCAUGUUCAGUUGCGUGUGUUGGUGUGUGCAUAUGUGCAUAGAGGUAGGUGUGUAUCGGUUUGUGUGUGCAUGUGUGUCUGCAUAUGUGUAGGCACGUGUGUCGGUGUUGGUAUGUGUACAUGUGUGUGCAUGUGUGUGUGUUGGUGUGUCUGCAUGUGUAUGUGCAUAUGUGUAGGUGUGUUGGCAUGUGUGUGCAUGUGUGUUGGUGUGUAUGUGUGUGCAUAUGUGUAGGUGUGUGUUGGUUUGUGUGUCUGCAUAUGUGUAGGCAUGUGUGUGUUGGUGUGGAUGUGUGUGCAUAUGUGGUGUGUGUGCAUGUGUAGGUGUGUGUGCAUGUGUCUUUGCAUAUGUGUAGGUGUGUUGGUAUGUGUGCAUGUAUGUGUACACAGGUGUGUGUGCAUGUCUGUGCAUAUCCAUAGGUGUGUCUGUGUGUGUUGGUAUAUGUGUGUCUGUGUUGGUAUGUAGGGGUGUGUGCAUGUGUGUGCAUAUGUGUAGGUGCGUGUGUGUCUGUGCGUGUGUGUGUGUCCGUCCUCUCCUCUCGUUAUCAGGCCCCAGUCAUUGCAUUAGGACCCCCUGCUCCAGUCUGGCCUCCUCUUGAUCACAGCUGCAAGGACCCUACUUCCAACUGAGGUCCCAAUUCACAGGUAUCAGGGUCAGGACUUGAACAUAUUUUGGGGGGACACAAUUCAACCCCCGAUGGGAGUGCAGGGCAUGGGAGGGAGGAGGGAGGCAAAGUGGGGAACAUGCAGCUGUCAGGACAAGGUCAGCACCUUCCCAAAUUCUUCCUGCAGAUGUCUGAAUCCCAAUUAGCCAGUUAUAAUAGCGUUUCUGCAAGUGUAGCUGCCGGGACUCAGCACCCAAAUCUGCCUGCUGGGCACCACAGUAGGCACUGCAGAGCCCCAAGGAUGCCCCUGCCUGGCUGGGCCUCACCCUGCAGUGGGCACCCCCCCAUUCUGCCACAUGCCCCUCCACCAUCUUGGCCCUCUUAGAGGCAUCUCUAGGGUGCUUGGGCCCCUCCAGCCCCAGCCCCAGCCCUGUACCCACAGGCACCCAGGAGGUAACAGAGCUGGGUGCUCUUCCAGGCUGAGGCAGCAGGGCCCUCAGGCAGGAGGGGCAGCUGGUGCCUCUUAGCCUCCAGCCCUGGCCUCCCCCUUGCCCCGCAGUUGUUUCAGGCAGGAAGGUGGGCAGUGCCAACCCUGCGGGGGUCAGUGAGACCUGAACCUCCCCAAGGGGGCAGUGCCUGUCUAGUGCGGGGACAAGGGGCAUAAUACUGUCAUCCAGAGCUAUGAAGUGGUCCUUGUGGCCCUUCCAGGCCGGCGUAGCCCAUAGUCGGGGCCAGUGACCUGGGGGCAGGGCUGGAGGCCAGGAGGGGCGGCUCUGAACAGAAAUGAAGCCGAAAGGGCCGCCCAGGGGACAGGCCAUCUGUCAGCUCAGGGCAGGUGCUGGUUCCGGGAGCUUUGGAGAACACUGCAUCUGCCAGCCCGCCCUCCAGCCCAGAGAUCCCACGCCAGGCUCCCCAGGCCUUGUGGCCCAGGCGGGCCAGGGGCAGGUCCCCAGCCUGAGCUGCUCACACUGCAGAUGCUUCCAGACGCUGGUUUCUUUGGGUCUCGUUUUAUUAAAAGCAUGAUUUCCCACUCCACAUAUUUCCUUUUUUUUGAGAUGGAGUCUCACUCUGUUACCUAGGCUGGAGUGCAGUG